This 697-nucleotide ribosomal RNA is filed under the name fungal sp. Its description in RNAcentral is "eukaryotic LSU rRNA". The stretch from base 474 to 697 matches the Rfam family "Eukaryotic large subunit ribosomal RNA", at positions 1 to 228 of the family's 3401-position model. The record is from RNAcentral. Lineage: Eukaryota; Fungi.
UACCGAGUUUACAACUCCCAAACCCCUGUGAACAUACCAAUUGUUGCCUCGGCGGAUCAGCCCGCUCCCGGUAAAACGGGACGGCCCGCCAGAGGACCCCUAAACUCUGUUUCUAUAUGUAACUUCUGAGUAAAACCAUAAAUAAAUCAAAACUUUCAACAACGGAUCUCUUGGUUCUGGCAUCGAUGAAGAACGCAGCAAAAUGCGAUAAGUAAUGUGAAUUGCAGAAUUCAGUGAAUCAUCGAAUCUUUGAACGCACAUUGCGCCCGCCAGUAUUCUGGCGGGCAUGCCUGUUCGAGCGUCAUUUCAACCCUCAAGCCCCCGGGUUUGGUGUUGGGGAUCGGCGAGCCCUUGCGGCAAGCCGGCCCCGAAAUCUAGUGGCGGUCUCGCUGCAGCUUCCAUUGCGUAGUAGUAAAACCCUCGCAACUGGUACGCGGCGCGGCCAAGCCGUUAAACCCCCAACUUCUGAAUGUUGACCUCGGAUCAGGUAGGAAUACCCGCUGAACUUAAGCAUAUCAAUAAGCGGAGGAGAAGAAACCAACAGGGAUUGCCCUAGUAACGGCGAGUGAAGCGGCAACAGCUCAAAUUUGAAAUCUGGCUCUCGGGCCCGAGUUGUAAUUUGUAGAGGAUACUUUUGAUGCGGUGCCUUCCGAGUUCCCUGGAACGGGACGCCAUAGAGGGUGAGAGCCCCGUCUGG